UUUCAAGUUGCCUAUACAUGUCUCAUAUCACAUGCCUAUACUUACCUAGUCCCAUGCUUUGAUCCCAUUUGGUGGUAAAGAAGGAAAAAGAUACAAGAGAAUAAGAGAAGGAAAGAAAGUCUGGUUACCCGAAGAUGUCAGCACGUUGGCUCGUAUUUCGCGCUUGUAGUAGCCAGCAGUGGCGGCGAAGGUGAUCGGUGGUGGUUGGGUCCGUGAGUGGUGCAGUCAGUUAGCACGGUAGAGAGUGGUGGUGUACGUACAAUCUUGAACGCUGUGGUUGCGCGUUUUCUGCUCCCGUGCGGCGGGGGCUGCCCUUCGCAAGAAUCCGCUUCACGCAUGGCACCGCUUCGUGCCUGAGACGCCUUUUUCUCGGAGACAGAGAGAGCAAGAUCGUGCGCGGCCGGGGCCCAGCCUCUUCGCGUGCUGCGUCUCGUUUUGCAGUUUUCGAGCGCCGGAGAGACCGAGUCGCGAACGAGCCGACAGAAUGACCAGUCAGGAGACGUGCGAGCAGGGGAUCAGCAACGUGGAAACUGAAUACCUCGAGAUCAACUCGAAAGAUGCCUGGCCGAUCCUGUAUCAGCACAUACGUAACGAAUGCAGCAAUUUCUCGUAUACAUAUAAUGAAUCGAGGAAGCCACAGAACAAAAAUUUAAACCGUUACAGAGAUGUUUUGCCAUACGACCAUAGUAGGAUCAUCCUUAAGAGGGGUCCAUGUGAUUAUAUUAAUGCUAACCUCAUACGGGUAGAUCGUGCUCACAGACAAUACAUCCUUACUCAAGGACCAUUGGAAAAUACUGCUGGCCACUUUUGGCUAAUGGUAUGGGAGCAAAAUUCUAAAGCCGUGUUAAUGUUAAAUAAAAUAAUUGAAAAGAAUCACGUUAAGUGUUAUCAGUAUUGGCCUCUUGGUGAUUCAGAGAAUAAUACUAUGAUGUUUGCGGAUGUUGGUAUAAAAGUAACGUAUAUCAGCAAAACAGAAUCAUCGGAUUAUACAACUAGAGUAUUAAAAUUAACUGACUUGGAAACAAAUGAAAGUAGAGAAAUAUUACAUUUUCAUUAUACUACUUGGCCAGAUUUUGGAGUGCCACAAAGUCCAACAGCAUUUUUAUCUUUCUUAACCACUGUUAGGCAAUCAGGUGCAUUAGAUCAAAAUGUUGGACCUCCUGUGGUGCAUUGUUCUGCAGGAAUUGGAAGAUCCGGAACAUUCUGUUUAGUUGACACAUGUCUUAUUUUGAUUGAAGAAAAUGGUUUGAAUUCUGUAAAUGUUAGAGAUGUCUUGAUAGAAAUGAGAAGAUAUAGAAUGGGUUUAAUCCAAACGCCGGGUCAACUAAGAUUUUCAUAUGCCGCUAUCAUUGAAGGAGCAAAACAAUUACUGUCUAACAACGUGAACAUUAAUAACGAAGUGGUAACAAAUCAUUAUGAUGUGGUAAGUAAUCUCAAUAAUUCUGUGGUAGAAGAAGAAGAUGAACCACCUCCUUUGCCUCCUCCAAGAGGUGAAUCUUUAACACGUAGCAUGAUGGCAGAUUUAACUUCAAAUCCAGGAACUAAAAAUGAUGAAUUGGGUGGACCUCCCGAUAAACCACUACCUAGAGAACCAUUGGUUCCUACAGAAACAACCACUACUUCACCGAUUGUGAAUUCUACAGUAAUUACAAAUAACUUGCAUGAAAAGAACUCUGAUGGUGUUGUAGUGCCUAAUGAAAACACCAGUGACGGUGAAAAUUCUUUACAAACAAUUAGUCCUCCGUCCAGUCCUGAUUCGAAAAACGAAGUACGUCACCGUAAUAAAGAGAAGAAGGAACGUUUGGCAGCACAAGUACGGGAGAUGAAACGUCGACAAAAGGAAACGGAAGAAUGGCAGAAACUCAAGAGGUCAUUAUUUAAGCCCCUUUCAAUAGGCAUAGGCGCCGCAAUUGUUGGUGGGGGUAUUAUAGCAAUCUGUGGCUAUUUGUAUAUGCGUGGUUAGGACACAAUUGUUUCUAUGUCACACGUGUACAUGGACCUUCGCGUUAUCAGUGAUACUAGGUGAUUCGCACAUUCAAGAAUAGUUACUUUCAUCAUGAGAUAUUUAACAGUUUCAUUGCACACGUCAUUGAUUGCCAUUGAUUCGAAAAAGUAAUUAACUAGGGAGAAGUAUUCGAUGUUACGUAAUUUGAUGCGAAACAGUCAUCACGAAACAUUGUAUCAGUAAGAGACUAUUAAGUUGGCAGACGGAGAGACACCAGAUAACAAAGAAACGUUAAAGAGAAGUAACUUAUUCUAACAAAGUGCAUUUGUAAAGGACAUUGUUGCACGACAAGGAAGCUACAAACGAAAAACGAAAAAAAAAAAGAGGAAAAGAAAUGGGUACAUUUAUGACGACGGAGUACGAAGGAAAGGCGGAAAUAUUCAAUUUGUAUUUUUAUAUUGUGAUUCACUCAAUGAGUAUGUAGAAUACUAGAAAGUACACAUUCUUUUGAAAAUCCAUUGAUUAGGUUCCCUUGAAACUGGCAGUUUACGAAGUGAGUAGAUUCUUUGGUAAUCGUAUUUCCAGUUAGAAUAAGAAGCACAUUGAGUUAGAUUUUUACCGUGUAGCUUUUUUUUAUCCUAAUUACAAAAGUACAGAAUAUCUUUUUUAUUUGUUAGAGAAUGUUAAUAAUUGUGUCUUGUAAAUUAGAAAGAAAAAAAGCACGUGUAAAAAUCUAAUAUAGAAGAUGAAUCAAUGUCUUCUUAUUCGUAUAUUGUAAGAACUGUAGGCUCUCAUAUAUGUUAGGUAUUACACAUCAGAUGGGUGCAUAACGUUCCAGUAAGUGAAAUCAGUUAUUUACUUUCAGAGUGAUAAUCGAAACACGAACGCAAGUAUUAAUUUGCCUUUUUUUUAUUUUUGAACAUUUAAAUAGAUAUAGUACUUUUUUUAUUUAUCAUUCAUUUCUACUUGAUUUCUAUUUAAUUCAGUAAUUUAAUAUUAAAUUCUAACAAUCAGUUUAAGGAGAAAAGAGACUCGUCUCUUUCAUCAUUUUUUUCAGUGAAUAAUUUUCAAAUAAAUUAGUCUUACUGUUAGUAAUUAUCCAGGGUACCAAAAUCAUUCUCCUAGAGUUAAUAAGCACCCGAUUCCCUUACUAGAAUCUGACGAGUAUAUUCGUGAUAGGCGUAGAGAAAAUGUUAACAAUCUUAAUUAUAGUAUACCAUGUAAAUGUUUUUUAUGAAUAACUUGCCCAUCGACGUAGAGUCCAUUCUUCUAUAGAACGUUCACGACCAGGUGAAAUCAUUGUUAGAAUUAGCAUAGGUCAUGUUUGUGACGUACCAUGGCCCAUUUUUUAGACGAAUCGAUGUUGUUUAUUUAGAAUCAUUGAUUUCGUUUAGAACUUGUUCCUUGGGCUAUUGGUAAAUAAAAACUAACUUCUGACUUUCUCUCUUCUAUGAACAAACGCAGAUCACCGAGAUAUUUCGUUUAAAUGGCAACUUGUGCCUUGCAUUCUGUGUACUUGGUAAUAUUUCACACGAGUCCUUUUUAAGGAUUUUUUUUGUUACACGAGAACAUGCCUGGUAUACGGAAGACUAAUAAUAUCGAAUUUCGCAACGUAUUCAAGUAAUUAGCAACGACUUUAAAAUAAUCAAUUUGCUAUGCUGUGCUCAUCACACUGUUCUUACGCGACUGCAUAUUAUUUGUCUGUUAAUUUUUGUGAUGAAGUAGUAGGUGCCAAACAAUAAGAAGCCAACAACAAUUUUGUAUGCCAUGCAUAAGAAGAUACGUAGAGCUUCGAAUCAAUUUCUGAUAUUAGCCUUGUUACUACGAACACCAAUGUUUCAAGUAUCAAGCACCAUAUCGACUAAUUCUUAGGAGUUAGCUGAUGAUUCGUAGGAACUUCCUCGCAUUCUUAAAGAUGAGCAAUCCAUAGAAUUAUUGGUGAUAAUUCUACUGGUUUGAUCGAAAGGUACUUGAUAUUGUUCAUCAUACGUUGAUAUUUUCUACGCAACCUGAGCUUGGUGUAUCAAAGUUGAUAUCAAAAACUGAUUCUGAUUCAGAUCAUGUUGAAUUCAUGAACCGUGUCAUGGUUGCGUUAGUAAAUUUUAUUUUGUACGCUUUUAACCCCUCAUUAGAGCAUGUUCCUGUGUGUCAAUCAGCUGAGCUUUUUAGCGAGUAGCCUGUAAGAUACUUAACAGAGCUCAGGUGACUCUGCUUUCGCAGCGGAACUGAAACAGGGGGUUAAAAGAGCCAAUUUCUAAUAUGCUAACUCCAACUGACUUGCUCAAUGGUAAACUGUUUAAGCAUACAUUGAGCAUCAUGGAAAGACUGAAUAUACGUCUAGUUGCUUCUAGGAGAAGCAAAGUUGAACAAAAAAUAAGAAAAAAAGUCAGCAAAAAAAAAGUUAAACUUGUACUCUUUAGGUCGAGCUUUUACGUAAGUCACGAUCAUGAAAAAUUUGAGAAAAGAAGACUUGUCAGAUCGUGUUCCAAAAGAAACAAAAAAUAAGUGAUGAUGCAGUUUGCGUUUCAAUUUCUUCGAAAAAGGAAAUGUGCGUGAUGAGCAGACGUAUUUUGUACCUUUUUGUACGUCGUUAGCUCUAAAUUGGAAUACGAUCUUAAAACGAGACAUUUCGGGUACGUGUUAUUGCAUUAAUAUGCGUCCGUGUAAUUCAUUCACGCAUUAUCUUAGAGAUACUAUGUUCCCGCUCGAAGUAAUGUUAACGUGUUCGAAUUUAAUACAGUAUUUUGUCGUGGGGUACAGUUGUUCACCUGUGUAUGCACCGAUUGUAUAUCUUGUUACCUGAUUUUUUAUCUACACCAGGACUUCCUAAACUUCUAUGGGUACAGACUCACUUUUGGAUACAGUAAUUUUCCAAGUUCCAAAUUUAAAAAACUCUGAAGUCCUAAGUUCUAUAAUUCAAAAUCCCAAAUUUAAAAAUCUUGAAAGUCCAAUUUCAAAAUUAAAAAAUUUGUAAGUUCCAAUUUCAUUCAAAAUAUGAAUGUCUAAUGCGACCCAUAUUUUAGGAAUCUCUGGUCUAGAUUAUGUUUGUGUAACUAGAGAAGCGUUCGAGCGUGAAUCGAGCAACUAGCAUUCGAAGAAGGUGCGAAAAAGGAUAAAGGUCACGAUCGUUAUGCCUCUGAACAGAGGGGAACAACAACAACGCGUAGACACACCGUUGCCGUUGAAAUAUCUUCAGGAUGUCGCAAGGAUAAUUGGAUUCUUGCGGUUGAAACUGUUGAGAGGCUUCCAGAUGUUGGAAUAAACAUUUCAUCCAUGCAGUAGUUGGAUUCAGUACAAAGGACGUAUUGAGAAAUUGAAGCGCUGCGGAAAUAUCUUGUUUAUCAAAUGUUCUGGUAAACUAAUAUCUGCAUUUCUAGAUUGCAUUGUUGGAUUUAGGAUUCUGAGGAUAAAAAUAGCUCAAGUAGAACUUUAAAACCAUUAGACGGUUGAGUAUCAAUUGGUUUUGGAUUAGAACUUGAGUAGAAAGUCUGAUAUAAAUUGAUGACGUAAAAGUAGUACAAAAUAAUACUUAUGACAUAUCAGUUUGAAGUUUAAGGUUUGUGAAAAAUGAUCGUACAAAUGCCUCAUCGUAUUCUCAAUAUAAAGUGGCUGGUCCUUCGUUGAGACAUUCGAUGAAAUUAUUUGAAAUUGAUUCAUUGUUCUAGCGAAUCAGCUGUUUUAUAUCAAAGAAACUGAUAAAGCUUAUGCAGUUAUUCUCAUCUUACUUUAAACUUCACAUUGAUACAUCACAAGUGUAAUCUUUCAAAUUGAGUAGAACUGCAUGUUCUAUUUGAGUUUAUGAAAAUACUUGGAAUUCUCAAUAUCUCUGUGUCCUUAGAUUGCUGUAUGGAUGUUCGAAGAUAGUAUUAAUGUGUCUUCAGAAAGAAAAGAAACAAAAGUCACAUUCCAAAAAAGACACAGCGUGAAAUAGGAAGCCUCCAACAGUUGAAGCCAACAUCGUCGAAGAGUCAAUUACAGAAUGAAAUUUGUUCGUGGCUAGUCUUUCAUAAGAGACGUUCGUUCGUAAUGAAGGUGGAUGCACGAGUUUGCCCAGAGAUUCUUUAAUUUCAAGCGUUCGUUCGCCUGGUCAUUGGCGUAACAAAUAAGGGGGCUCAUAGACUUUAGACUAGGAAUUUAGAAAUUCCUGAAAUUAUAGAUUUUUAGAUAUUCACAUUCUCAAAUUUCUAAAUUUCCAGUUUUUAAAGGGUCCAAAUUUGUACAAGUCCAAUACUGCACUUUUGCAAAUGACCAACUUUAUAAAUUUCAAAAUCCUCAAGUGACAACGCUAACAGUAAAUUUAAGGGACACUUUCAAACGAAACAUACAGUUACGCCAAUGGUAAUCACAGGUUGAACGACAAUCAUUCAUUAACCCGGGAACUCCCUUGUCGUUUAUCAUCGGAAACUUCCUGACGAGAAUGAGUGCGAUAGAACGAGAGUGCGUGCGAGAGAAAAGCUUAUUCUCAAGAACUAGAAUCCACGAAAGACACGGUGCUAACAAAAGUUCCAGAAAACGAAAAGAAAGACGAAAAGGGAAAAAAGCAUAUGAUAUAUAUAAGACACGCUUUGAUACGUUUGCAUGCGUGAGAGAGCGAACGUAACCAUAGAGAAUGAAAGAAGAGAAGAAACAUUUUAAAGAAUAACGAUCGUCAGAUAUCUUAUGAACAUUACUCGAGCGAGUGAGCGAGAGAGGGAGAGAAAGAGAGAGCGAAAGAGAGAGAGAGAGAAAAUGAGCGUAAUAUACAAAGAAGAGUAAGAGAGGAGUGUGACUGUUCCGAAAGAAGAAAUCGAACGUAAAAGGGAAAAAAAGAAGAAAACGAAGAGGGGAGGCUUUUGUACAAGCAGUUUCUGUUCUUUUCAUCCUGGUAUAUAUUCUCUCCGUCUCGUGUACAAUAGACACGUUCAACUAGCGUUCUAACUACAAGGAACCGCAGAAACAUAGCUAAGUGCCUACUCGUACGAAACAAAAGGAAGGGAUCGAAAGGGAACCAUAUUGAGAAUACGACCGAUAAUAGCGUUAAUAAUUACAAUAACGUACGCGAACCCUCGCCUUUUGGAAGAGCGUAGCCAUCGAGCAAGUGAAUCCUUUACCAUCCGACAAUAUACAUUACAUACAUACAUAACAUACAUACAUACAUAUUAUUAUAUGUUGAUAGAUAUUAUCGUUCCAGUAAGUCUAUUAUCACGUAUUUGCCCAACGAUCGAAUCACUGGGUGUAUUUUAUUUGGAUAGCGAUUAUUUAUCAAAAUAGAGAGAACUUUUUUUAAAGCGAGUUACAUAGGGUUCAUCGAUGCAAUGUAUAUUUGGUGGAAGAAAUAGGGUGAAAUUGUUAGUACUUUAUACCUCAGAUUUAUCAUUUUUAUCAUGCGAUAUAUCAUGUAUUAAUUAGAAUGUGAAAACUGGCACAGUGGAGUCCUGCUAUAUGGCCAUGGGCAUGUAAAAGGGAAGAAUGGACCAUAUAAGGGGAAAUAAGCUGCUAUGAUUCUUAAAAUCUGAGAAUUCUAAAUUUCCUAAAAUUUGGAAAUUUCAAAAUUUCAAAGAUGGUAAAUCUGAGUUCGGAUAAAUUUGAAAAUUUAUAAGUUUAGCAAACGUGAAAUUCACUUAUCUUCCGCCAAGUAUACAUAUUCUGUGGAAUACAGAAUUUAAACCGUAUGUCCUGUUGGUUCGAUCGACAAUUAGCGGCAGGCAGAUUUACCUAAAGAGCUAAGGACGAGUUGCGCGUGCGAGAAGCGAAACCUGAAAUAGGAAUGAAAAACAAGGAAAAUCUGAAUGAAAGAAAAACAAAGAUCGAAAGUGUCAGAUUCGGCUUUUGGCAGAGUUCGAAUAAGAAAUAAGCAACGAUAGGAAAGUUACUUCUCUACGAAGUCAAAUUGCAUCUCCUGCGACUCGACUUAAGCACAGUAAACUAUACUCGCAAAAUUGUAGCGUCGUAGAAGCGUAUCGGAUGCGGUGUUUGAAAUGUAACAGCUGAACGCGAGCGGUAGAAUUUAGUGAGAAAGGACAUAGAAACGAAGGGGCGAAAGAAGUGAACUGAAAGCAACCAUUUUAAAUUUGAUGCAAGAGAGCGAUCUCUUUAAAAAAUAAUCGACAAUUUAUAUAGAACAUCAUUUCGCUUCUUCACCCGUUAGAGAAAGAAUAGAUCCAAAUCGAAGUAACUAUGGAUAGAAUAAUGAACGAUUUGCAUGUAAUACAAUGUUAUUUACACGAACCAGAAAGAGAGAGAGGGAGAGAGAGCGAGCGAGAAAGAGAAAAAAAAAGGAACAAUGAAACGUGCGGUGACAUCGAUGCCCUCACGACGCAUACAUUCUUCUUUUUUUUUUAACUCGCAAAAUGUAGAAAGACUCGUAGACGAAGUUCCCCGAUUGCAUAUUUAGAUCGAUCAAUACAGGAAAGGAUUUUUUCGUA
This 8349-nucleotide unclassified non-coding RNA is filed under the name Megachile rotundata (alfalfa leafcutting bee). Its description in RNAcentral is "tyrosine-protein phosphatase non-receptor type 2, transcript variant X1". The record is from RNAcentral. Lineage: Eukaryota; Metazoa; Arthropoda; Insecta; Hymenoptera; Megachilidae.